AAACUAUAAAAGUAUUCUAAAAUCUAUCUUUCCGUAAUAUGUUUGGCCAGCAGGGGCCACUAUUCAUCAUUUAAAGUCUCAAGAAAUGAUACACAGUUCAAAGUUUUCCCGCUUCUUUAGGUGGUUAUUAGAAGUUUUUUCCAUCUAAUCUACAGUUUCAGGUAAAAUAGGUCAACCGAAUGUCUUAUGCUCUAAAAAACACUUUUUACUCCCGUCAACAACUUUAUUUGAUCCUGCCUAUGAUCUUUCAGUCCAUGUCUAAUGUCCAUUCAAAGGUCAGUUGCGCCACAGCGCCCUCUAGAGGCCCCCUGAAGUGUACAAACAGAAGAAAGAAGAAAAAGAGUGGCAGGGGGCGGGGUUUCACUGCAGGCAAAAAUCCUCAAAGGCUCAGUCGUUGUUCCCAGUGUAAAAGACAAAUCAGGUCCACUUUCAUGCGUGUAUAUUCUGUGAAAAGGACAGACAAGCCUCACGAAAGUAGCAAACAUGGAAUCAGGCGAAGACCAAAACACAAGCAGCACAAACGGAAACCCUCAGACAAGCGGGAACUCCCGGGCACCCCAGAUUGCCCGCAUGUCUUUGUAUGAGAGACAAGCUGUACAGGCUCUUCAAGCUCUGCAGAGACAGCCUAAUGCAGCCCAGUACUUCCAGCAGCUCAUGCUGCAGCAGCAGAUCAAUACAGCCCAACUACAAAACUUUGCUGUGCAACAGGCCACACUUGCAGCUAGUCGCCAGUCUAAUACACCAAGUAACAGCAUUUCACCGGCUCCCACCACUGUUAAUUUAAGCACUACAUCUUCCGGUGGGACUAUGAGCAGUCCUCGUCCACACGGUCCGGCUACGUCUGCAACAACAACAGCUCUCAACCAGUCAGUGCUGUUGGGUGGAAACUCUGCAGGACAGGGACAGAUGUAUCUUAGGGUGAACCGCUCUCUAAGGAAUCCGCUUACCUCUCAGCUCAUCUUCAUGCCCGGCGGGACGACCGCGGCCGUAGCAACGGUAGCUCAGACACAAACACAACCCCAGCAGCAGCAACAGCAUGACACUGCUUCCACCACUCCAUGUGCCCAGGCUGACAACGACCAGGUGCAGAACCUGGCUCUACACUGUGCCUCUAACGCCAAAGCCGUCGCUGUAAAGGCUGAAAAUGUAGAGAGGAAGGAUGCCGGCGGUUUUUCUCUCGCUCAGCAGCAGCAGACUUUCUCUCAGCAGCAGCAGAUGGCUAAAGCCAGCUUUAACCAGCCGUCUGCCUCCAGCACUCUGACUGUGAAGACCGGGAACCAGGCUGCCAUGACUGUGGCCCCUGCAGCCUCUGUGGCCCCGUCCUCCUCUUCAUCAUCCCCAGCGCUCCCCCUCUCUCAGCUCCUCCUGGCUCCGUCUUCUCCCGUCAUCCUGGUGCCCACGUCAAAUGUCCCUACCUCCACCCAGGGCUACUCAAUCGGUUCUGUGGCCCCGAAGGCCAGCAUGAACCCACAGACUCUGGUGGUGCAGCCCCUUCAGCAGGCCAACGCUAACAUGGAAAAGGGUCCCGUCCCGAUACAGCCCAAGACGGCACAGGGACACCGCUUACCCGUUCAGCUGUCGCCUCGGCAGCCGCCUCCCAUACUGCCAGCGCCGCCAAGCAACAGUCAGGCUAAUGCUGGGGGUCACAACCCUCCACACAUCCCGGUCCAGCUUGUGGGAGCCAGGCAGGGCUUGGCAGGAAAUGCACAAGCUGUGGCUUUGGCUCAGGCGCGGAGCAACGCGGUUCUGGAGAGUCCAUCUGGUGUGGCGGUUAGCUCAGUCCCAAGCAGUGCUGCCAUGACAAAGCCAUUGGUCGGCUCUCUGAAGAGAAAAUCUGAGAGUGAUGUGCCAAAUGAGAUGUCAGAAGCGUCAGAUUCUGCCCCCAUGAAGGACGCAGCUCCUCCUUUAUCUCCUGCCCCCACAAAGGACUCGGCUCCUGCUGUUGAUGCCACGUUCUCCGCGCCCCCGACGUUGUCCUUGUCUCUGCCCUUGUCCAGAGGUUGUCAUGGGGACAAAGUUCCUCAGGCGGUAGUCAAACCUCAAGUCCUCACUCAUCUCAUCGAGGGCUUCGUUAUUCAAGAGGGAGCCGAGCCCUUCCCUGUUGCUGGACUCCUCAAAGACAGAGAUUUUGCUCUGGCUGGUCGCACAGAGAACGGUCCUCCAUUGUUGAAAUGUGAGUACUGUGGAUGCUUUGCUCCAGCCAGCCAGUUCAGGGGAUCAAAGAGGUUCUGUUCAAACACUUGUGCAAAGAGGUAUAAUGUAAGCUGCAGCCAGCACUACAAGUCCAGCAGAGGGAGGAGUGGUGGGGGGCCGCCGCUACCUUCCAGCCCCACAGAAAGCUCUGCUAAACGCAGAGGUCCUUCCCGACGGGGGAGUUCAAAUAGCACCUACAGUAAAGUAUCAAGCAAGCAUCUUUCUGUCAAGUGUCACUCAGAGUCCAGUCGCUCAGAAGACGUGUCCAGUGAGGGGGAGGAAGAGGACGACUCUUCCUCGCUGUCCAGAAGCUCGUUACGCUCGUGCUCCAGAGCUGAGCACAGCGCUCCUCCCUCCGACAGCUCGGCACCUGGAAGUCUCCUGAUCGAAGGGGCCAACUUCCUCUCCGCGACUCCGGCUCAGUGGAGCGUGGAAGAAGUCUGCAAGUUCAUCUCCUCGCUUCAAGGUUGCGAGGAGCUGGCGGCCCAGUUUCUGUCGCAGGAAAUAGACGGACAGGCUCUGCUGCUGCUGAGAGAAGACCACCUAAUCUCCACCAUGAACAUUAAACUGGGUCCGGCUCUGAAGAUUUGUGCCUCAAUCAACAGUCUGCGCGAGUGAUGGCUGGGCCUUCAUUUCUGAUGCCUCACUUGGGACUCGAUUGUGUGGAUGUUUUGAUUUUGAUCAGUUGAUCCCGAUCAAUCUGAAGGUGCUUUUCAGACCACAUGAACCUUUUAAUCCAGUUCCUCCUCUGUGAUGUUUGUCUUGCUUUAGGGCAGGAGCUUUUCUUUACAACCUAUGAGUGACAUAAAGGGAUGUGACUGAUUCAGUUCAGAGGUUGCAUUGAUUGACUGAGCUACAGUCAGUUUGUUCUCAGUGUGUCCUAAAGCUCUUAGAGAACCUUUAAGUUGCUUGGUGCCAGAACGCCCACAGUUCCUUGCUAAACUGUUUUCUGCCCUUGAUUUUUCACAUUUUGUCUCAUUGCAACCACAAACUUUGAGUCUUUAUCUGGGAUUUUACGUCAACCAACACAAAGUAACACAAAAGAGUGGCGUGCAUUGGGAUUCAUACUCCAUAGAUCUACCUUUUGCUCGUUGGAGUAUGUCUCUACCUGCUUCAUCCUCUGUAGAGGACGUUGCCAUGGAGAUCCAUUUUUCUGCAGCUGCACAGUUCUGCUGUAAUGUGUGUUGGUCUAUCACCAUUGAUGGUUGUUGUCUUAACGUGACAAAAUGGGGAAAAACGUUAAGUUGUGUAAUUACAUUUUUUUUUUUUUCAAGGCACUCGAUAGACAGUAUUCUUUCUGUGCAGACUUAUGCAUACUGGUAUGUGUAAGCCGUUGAUAUCAUGAACUGAAGUGUUCCUUUCAUAAGUGUUUGUCUUUUUCUUUGUCUGAAACUUGAUAUAUUGUAUGUAGACUCCUUGAAAACUCCAACUCUCGCUGCCAGUCAGGUGUUCCUGCCCAAACUUCUUCACUUCAAACAGUAUUUUAAAAAGAUGCCAAGCCCAGGCUACAAUCACAUCACCGACAAUGACACUCAACAAGCCUGGUGUUUUAGUAGUUUUUUUUUUUUUUAAUAGUCAUGAAGAGUUUAGUUUUGUAUUUUCUCAUUUUUAUAGUACAAUCAGAAUUAUUUUUUCAUGAGACAAUAUAGUUGUAGAAGCUUUAAUAAAGUACCUGGAAGUGGGUACUCAUGCUCUGCUCUUUCAAGGGCUAAAUGGAAGUGCUCUCUGUACAUGUAUGCAGUACUAUCAAUAAACAUUACUGGAACUGA
This is an RNA transcript of Gambusia affinis (western mosquitofish), 3962 nucleotides long. It is a transcript of the gene named polyhomeotic homolog 1, with no coding region annotated. The record is from RefSeq and is a predicted model, not a curated record. The transcript is spliced from 15 exons. Lineage: Eukaryota; Metazoa; Chordata; Actinopteri; Cyprinodontiformes; Poeciliidae.